This 468-nucleotide ribosomal RNA is filed under the name uncultured bacterium. RNAcentral's name for it is "partial 16S ribosomal RNA". It matches the Rfam family "Bacterial small subunit ribosomal RNA", at positions 28 to 507 of the family's 1533-position model. The record is from RNAcentral.
GACGAACGCUGGCGGCGUGCUUAACACAUGCAAGUCGAACGGAAAGGCCCUGCUUUUGUGGGGUGCUCGAGUGGCGAACGGGUGAGUAACACGUGAGUAACCUGCCCUUGACUUUAGGAUAACUUCAGGAAACUGGGGCUAAUACCGGAUAGGAGCUCCUGCUGCAUGGUGGGGGUUGGAAAGUUUCGGCGGUUGGGGAUGGACUCGCGGCUUAUCAGCUUGUUGGUGGGGUAGUGGCUUACCAAGGCUUUGACGGGUAGCCGGCCUGAGAGGGUGACCGGGCACAUUGGGACUGAGAUACGGCACAGCCUCCUACGGGCGGCAGCAGUGAGGACUAUUGCACAAUGGGCGGAAGCCUGAUGCAGCAACGCCGCGUGCGUGAUGACGGCCGUCGGGUUGUAAACCGCUUUCGCCUGUGACGAAGCGUGAGUGACGGUAAUGGGUAAAGAAGCACCGGCUAACUACGUG